GUCAAAAUUAUGACUCUUCACGUUCCUUUCUCAUUCUCUCACUCUCGUCUCUCUCAUCUCUCGAACCAAACCUACGCCAGAAAUCGCUCCACCGCGCCGGAGGCGGCGGAGCACGGCCGAUCAUCCAACCUUCUUCCCUCAUCUUUUUCUCCCCGACCUCACAACUUUAGAUCUGCUCUUAGUUUUCUCCGAUUCCCUUUUCGUUCCCCUAAAUCUAAGCAAACCUAAAACCCUAGCAUUCUGAGAAGUGAAAUUAAACGAAACUAGCGAAGGAUACAGAUGCGGUACCAUGGGGGAAAUAAUCAGGGAACACAAAUCUACCACAUAGCAUCAAGAAAAGCAAAAAAGAGGAUGAAUAAGGGAGGAGGCGAGACCUACCUUCUGGAGAUGCUCCGGCGGUGAUCAGAAAGACGGAGACGAGGCUCUGAAAGCUCAGGUGCGAAAUAAACGGGAAGAGCGGCAAAGGAAGCUCCGAUUUCAGGGCAUAUAAGAGGCUCAAAAGGAGAUGGAAUGUGGAGCAUGGGGUUGUUGAGUGCAGGCUUGUAUGAAGUCAGAAAUCAUGCAGUAGGUUUUGUGGAGGAUUGAAGAAUGAAGGUUGAUGAAAUGGCUUGGUCACAAAGAGAACUUGAAGCAAAUUAAUGUUGAGUCACGAAUAUGCUGAACAGAAGGAAGAUAGGUCUAGGACAGGGUGUUGACUUUGGUCAACUGUUUGACCAAAAGUCAACUAGAAGUCAAAAUAAUUUUUGGGUGUAAUUUUCAACGUAGCUUGUAUGUAAUGGAUUUGGCCAAUGCUAAUGAAAUGUGGACUUUUCAUGACUUUUCUUGUGUAUUCCUUUUAUGUAGUAUAUGGAUUUUGUAAUGGAUUGGAACAUGAAAUAUGUAAUGCUUUUUUUUGUAAUGAAAUUUGUAUGAAGUGUAUGAAUGUUUAAGUA
Molecule: long non-coding RNA, 932 nt
Organism: Vicia villosa (hairy vetch)
Lineage: Eukaryota; Viridiplantae; Streptophyta; Magnoliopsida; Fabales; Fabaceae
Exons: 3
Source: RefSeq, a predicted model, not a curated record